AUACGGAGGAUCCGAGCGUUAUCCGGAUUUAUUGGGCUUAAAGGGUGCGCAGGCGGCCAUUUAAGUCAGCGGUUAAAUCGUGGGGCUCAACCCCAUUCUGCCGUUGAUACUGGGUGGCUUGAUUGCGGUCGAGGCUGGCGGAAUUCGUUGUGUAGCGGGGAAAUGCAUAGAUAUGACGAAGAACACCGAUUGCGUAGGCAGCUGACCAGACCGCAAAUGACGCUCAUGCACGAAAGUGCGGGGAUCGAACAGGAUUAGAUACCCUGGUAGUCCGCACAGUAAACGAUGAAUACUUGUUUUCGGCGAUAUAAUGUCGGAGGCAAAGCGAAAGCGAUAAGUAUUCCACCUGGGUAGUACGCCGGCAACGGUGAAACUUAAAGGAAUUGACGGGG
Molecule: ribosomal RNA, 392 nt
Filed under: uncultured bacterium
Lineage: Bacteria
Description: partial 16S ribosomal RNA
Rfam family: Bacterial small subunit ribosomal RNA
Source: RNAcentral